UAUUAAAAUUUUUAUCUAUUUCUAUCGCUAAAAAUUAAUAUGUUUGAUAGAAUACUCAGACAGUUACUAUCUCAUUCUGAUGUAAAGUGACUAGUUUCUAACAAUAGAAAUGAAUGAAACUUUUAACG
RNAcentral lists this microRNA precursor (128 nucleotides) under Gossypium hirsutum (cotton). RNAcentral's name for it is "MIR7502 microRNA precursor family". It matches the Rfam family "MIR7502 microRNA precursor family". The record is from Rfam by way of RNAcentral. Lineage: Eukaryota; Viridiplantae; Streptophyta; Magnoliopsida; Malvales; Malvaceae.